RNAcentral lists this ribosomal RNA (520 nucleotides) under uncultured archaeon. Its description in RNAcentral is "bacterial SSU rRNA". It matches the Rfam family "Archaeal small subunit ribosomal RNA", at positions 347 to 875 of the family's 1478-position model. The record is from RNAcentral.
CCCCCCCAAAACGAAAGUGUGACGGGGUUACCCAAAGUGUUCAUAUUUGGACUGUGGUAGGUGAGUAAUGUCCCCUUUUAGAAAGGAGAGGGCAAGGCUGGUGCCAGCCGCCGCCGUAAAACCAGCUCUUCAAGUGGUCGGGAUAAUUAUUGGGCUUAAAGUGUCCGUAGCCGGUUUAGUUAGUUCCUGGUAAAAUCGGGUAGCUUAACUAUCUGUAUGCUAGGAAUACUGCUAUACUAGAGGGCGGGAGAGGUCUGAGGUACUACAGGGGUAGGGGUGAAAUCUUAUAAUCCUUGUAGGACCACCAGUGGCGAAGGCGUCAGACUGGAACGCGCCUGACGGUGAGGGACGAAAGCCAGGGGAGCGAACCGGAUUAGAUACCCGGGUAGUCCUGGCCGUAAACGAUGCAUACUAGGUGAUGGCACGGCUAUGAGCCGUGUCAGUGCCGUAGGGAAACCGUUAAGUGUGCCGCCUGGGAAGUACGGUCGCAAGGCUAAAACUUAAAGGAAUUGGCGGGGGA